This 319-nucleotide ribosomal RNA is filed under the name uncultured eukaryote. RNAcentral describes it as "partial 18S ribosomal RNA". It matches the Rfam family "Eukaryotic small subunit ribosomal RNA", at positions 1470 to 1796 of the family's 1831-position model. The record is from RNAcentral.
UCCUUAGAUGUUCUGGGCAGCACGCGCGCUACAAUGGUCUUCGCAAACGGAUGCAUUCUCGAAGGAGAAUGCCAAUCUUGGAAUCUAUGCCUUGGUCGGGACAGUUGCUUGCAAUUUUUCGACUCGAACCAGGAAUUCCUUGUAAUCGUGAUUCAUCACAUCACGAUGAAUACGUCCCUGCCCUUUGUACACACCGCCCGUCGCUCCUACCGAUCGAAGAGUUAGGUGAAUUGUUUUGAUCGAUAAGAUUUGACUAUGGUCAACUCUCGUUGUGAAAUUCUGUGAAUCUGACUGUUUAGAGGAAGGAGAAGUCGUAACA